RNAcentral lists this transfer RNA (72 nucleotides) under Candidatus Tremblayella princeps. Its description in RNAcentral is "Candidatus Tremblaya princeps tRNA-Ser(TGA)". The record is from RNAcentral. Lineage: Bacteria; Pseudomonadati; Pseudomonadota; Betaproteobacteria.
GCCGCUUUAGCUCCAGAUGGCAUAGCAUUCCAUUGAAUGAAAUGGUUGUCAGUUCGACCCUGACAAGCGGCA